UCAAGAAUAUUCCUCAAUGGACGAAAGUCUGAAGGAGCGACGCCGCGUGACUGAUGAAGUCCUUCGGGAUGUAAAGGUCUUUUAUUAGGGACGAACAAAUGACGGUACCUAAAGAAUAAGGGGUUGCUAACUCUGUGCCAGCAGCAGCGGUAAUACAGAGACCCCGAGCGUUAUCCGGAUUUAUUGGGCGUAAAGCGUGCGCAGAUGGCUUUUUAAGUCUGUGGUCAAAUCCCGAAGCUUAACUUCGGGACUGCCAUGGAAACUGAAUCGCUAGAGGAUGGAAGAGGUCAACGGAAUUGCCAGUGUAACGGUAAAAUGUGUUAAUAUUGGCAAGAACACCAGAGGCGAAGGCGGUUGACUGGGACAUUCCUGACAUUGAUGCACGAAAGCGUGGGGAGCGAAUGGG
This 406-nucleotide ribosomal RNA is filed under the name uncultured bacterium. RNAcentral's name for it is "bacterial SSU rRNA". It matches the Rfam family "Bacterial small subunit ribosomal RNA", at positions 355 to 776 of the family's 1533-position model. The record is from RNAcentral.